UCCCUGGUAGUCUAGUGGUUAGGACUCUGUGCUUUUACCGUCCAGGGUUCAGGUUCAAUUCCUGGUCUGAGAA
Molecule: transfer RNA, 73 nt
Filed under: Bos taurus (domestic cattle)
Lineage: Eukaryota; Metazoa; Chordata; Mammalia; Artiodactyla; Bovidae
Also listed under: 3 other names
Rfam family: tRNA
About the family: Transfer RNA (tRNA) molecules are approximately 80 nucleotides in length. Their secondary structure includes four short double-helical elements and three loops (D, anti-codon, and T loops).
Source: Rfam by way of RNAcentral